RNAcentral lists this ribosomal RNA (433 nucleotides) under uncultured bacterium. RNAcentral's name for it is "partial 16S ribosomal RNA". It matches the Rfam family "Bacterial small subunit ribosomal RNA", at positions 29 to 507 of the family's 1533-position model. The record is from RNAcentral.
AACGAACGCUGGCGGCAUGCCUAACACAUGCAAGUCGAACGAGACCUUCGGGUCUAGUGGCGCACGGGUGCGUAACGCGUGGGAACCUGCCCUUAGGUUCGGAAUAACUCCCCGAAAGGGGUGCUAAUACCGGAUAAUGUCUUCGGACCAAAGAUUUAUCGCCUUUGGAUGGGCCCGCGUUGGAUUAGCUAGUUGGUAGGGUAAAAGCCUACCAAGGCGACGAUCCAUAGCUGGUCUGAGAGGAUGAUCAGCCACACUGGGACUGAGACACGGCCCAGACUCCGACGGGAGGCAGCAGUGGGGAAUAUUGGAGAAUGGGCGAAAGCCUGAUCCAGCAAUGCCGCGUGAGUGAUGAAGGCCUUAGGGUUGUAAAGCUCUUUUACCCGGGAUGAUAAUGACAGUACCGGGAGAAUAAGCUCCGGCUAACUCCGUG